This 407-nucleotide ribosomal RNA is filed under the name uncultured bacterium. RNAcentral describes it as "partial 16S ribosomal RNA". It matches the Rfam family "Bacterial small subunit ribosomal RNA", at positions 30 to 526 of the family's 1533-position model. The record is from RNAcentral.
AUUGAACGCUAGCGGGAUGCCUUACACAUGCAAGUCGAACGGAGUGGCGCACGGGUGAGUAAUGUAUCGGAACGUGCCCAGUAGCCGGGGAUAACUCCGCGAAAGCGUAGAUAAUACCGCAUACUAUUGGAGCGGCCGUUAUCGGAUUCGCUAGUUGGGGGGGUAACGGGUCACCAAGGCGACGAUCCGUAGCUGGUUUGAGAGGACGACCAGCCACACUGGGACUGAGACACGGCCCAGACUCCUACGGGAGGCAGCAGUGGGGAAUGUUGGACAAUGGGGGAAACCCUGAUCCGGCCAUCCCGCGUGUGCGAUGAAGGCCUUCGGGUUGUAAAGCACUUUUGGCAGGAGAGCGGUACCUGCAGAAUAAGCACCGGCUAACUACGUGCCAGCAGCCGCGGUAAUUC